GACGAACGCUGGCGGCGUGCUUAACACAUGCAAGUCGAACGAUGAAGCGGGUGCUUGCACUCGUGGAUUAGUGGCGAACGGGCGAGUAACACGUGAGUAACCUGUCCUUUUCUUUGGGAUAACGGCUGGAAACGGCUGCUAAUACUGGAUAUUCAGGCUGCAUCGCAUGGUGUGGUUUGGAAAGGUUUUUUCUGGGAUUGGGUGGGCUCGCGGCCUAUCAGCUUGUUGGUGGGGUGAUGGCUUACCAAGGCUUUGACGGGUAGCCGGCCUGAGAGGGUGGGCGGUCGCACUGGGACUGAGAUACGGCCCAGACUCCUACGGGAGGCAGCAGUGGGGAAUAUUGCACAAUGGACGAAAGUUUGAUGCAGCGACGCCGCGUGGAGGGUGUAGGCCUUCGGGUUGUGAACUCCUUUUUCUCGCGAAAAAGGCACAGUUUUGGCUGUGUUGAUGGUAGUGGGGGAAGAAGCGCCGGCUAACUACGUG
This 483-nucleotide ribosomal RNA is filed under the name uncultured bacterium. Its description in RNAcentral is "partial 16S ribosomal RNA". It matches the Rfam family "Bacterial small subunit ribosomal RNA", at positions 28 to 507 of the family's 1533-position model. The record is from RNAcentral.